CGUUAUCAUUAUUAGUAGGAAUGUAGCUCGCAUCGAGUACUUUUCCAAGCUUUUACGAAAUUGCUGUAUUUAAUAUUUAUAGAUUGACCAUCAGUUUGACGCCUUUCCGAAAUCCUCUAAAUUAACAGCUUAGAUUUCAACUAUUGAUUUACGUAUUGAUGAAUCUCGUUCUUUGAUAAACAAAGCAACAAAAAUCAAAAAAAUCAAGACAAUGGCAGAGAACGAAACGAGUUCAUUGCUCGGAACGGAACUGAAGCAACUUACGUUUGGAUGGACCGAUUACACAUUGUUCAGCAGUCUCUUAGGGAUCAGUGUCCUCAUAGGGAUUUAUUUUGGUUUUUUCGACAAAAAGCAGGACAACACUACUGAGUAUUUGCUCGGAGGAAAGACGAUGUCCUGUUUCCCAGUUAGCAUGAGCUUGGUCGCCAGUCACAUAUCGGCAGUCUCUUUGCUCGCUAUACCCGUCGAAGUAUAUCAAUAUGGCACACAGUACGCUGUCUGUAUUUUUACAUCGCUUAUAACGUGUACUCUCGUUUCGCUCAUCUACAUACCGGUAUUUUAUAAAUUACAAACGACCAGCUCGUUUGAAUACCUGGAACUGAGGUUUACGAGGUCCGUCCGGCUAUUCGCCUCGUUUCUUUAUACAUUUUCUUUGAUCAUUUAUGUCCCUUUGAUCAUAUACGUACCAGCGCUAGCAUUUUCGCAGGCAACAUCGAUCAAUCUCUACCUGCUUACUCCGAUAAUCUGCACUGUAUGCACAUUCUACACGACCAUCGGAGGAUUGAAAGCUGUAGUUUGGGCGGACACCAUUCAAAUGAUUGUAACCUUGGGAAGUUUGUUUGCCGUGUUUGUUUUGGGCACCAUGGCCGUGGGCGGUGUAUCCGAGGUUUGGAGACUAUCGGAAGAGGGUAGAAGAAUAGUUUUCUGGAAUAUGGACCCUAGCCCAUUUGUUAGAAAUUCAUUUUGGGGAAUGUCAGUUGGAAUGACGAUAACGUGGUUAACAGGAUUGGGCAUUAAUCAAUCGUCCGUGCAAAGAUUUUUAUCUGUGCCGAACGUCAAGGAAGCGCAUAAGGCAAUGGCGUCCAUGGGGAUAUCCAUUGUGAUAGUAAAAUGGGUGUCGGUAUUUACGGGACUUAUAAUGUACGCCAGGUAUCACAAGUGCGAUCCUAUAAGUACACACGUAAUUUCCAGGAGCGACCAAUUACUUCCGUAUUACGUAUUGGACGUCGCCGCGAAUAUUCCAGGACUUCCGGGCCUUUUUCUUGCCGGUCUCGUCAGCGCUGGCCUCUCCACGAUGAGCGCCGCUUUGAACACAGUGGCUGGCACAAUUUACGAGGACUUUAUCGAUUCCUGGUUACCAGAUAGCAGCGAUAAAGAGAAUCGGGCGGCGAGAAUUAUGAAGAUUAUCGUGGUGGUCAUUGGAGUAAUCUGCAUGGUGAUGGUUUUCGUCGUGGAUCGUUUAGGCGAUAUUUUCCGUGCUUCUCUGGUUCUUCACGGCAUCACGGCUGGCGCGAUGCUGGGUAUUUUCACUCUGGGAAUGUUGGUACCAUGGGCGACGUCGAAAGGUGUCAUCGUGGGUGGCAUAACUUCCAUGUUAUUCAUGAUUUGGCUUAUAGUCGGUGCUCAAGUGAACAUGGUUCAGAAACGAUUAGUUUAUCCACCGCUUCCUAUGUCGACGGAGAACUGUUUGAAUCACACGGUAUUUAAUCAAACGACAACGCACACGGAUGAUAUCCCAGCAGACGGAGAGGAGAAACCGUUUGUACUGUUCACGAUAUCGUUCAUGUAUUACUCUCUGUGCGGUUUCUUGAUAUCGAUGGUGAUUGGGACGGCAGUCAGUUUUAUGACUGGCGCUAACGAUCUAAGAGAGGUGGAGAGGAAUCAUUUUCCACCGUUCGUUCAGAGAUUUUUGCCACCAAAGAAAUACACCGAGGUUCCAAUGCACGCGAUCCCCACCGCGCUGGUGGUGAACCCGGAGAAAGAGAAGCUCAAUUUAUAAAAACGGACAUCACAGGCAUACGUGAAGUCCAACUAUUUCGCUAGUGCGAUAAUGUAUCGAUUCAAUUCUUCCGUGCAACUGCGUGCACGAGGCGUGGAGGAAUAAAAAUCGUGCGGUAAAGAUUCCCGAGGUGAAAGUCGACCGAGGUGAAGGAAGUAACCCUUAUCAAAGAUUCGAGAUAUUAUCCUCGAGGCUUUCAGGAGAGAACUCACGGUCGGCGACAGAGAGGAGAUUCCUGGAGAAGAAGGCUCGCAAGGGACGUUACACGGCUGACGUAGAAACGGCACUUCUCUGUCUCGAACCGGAGACCACAUUCCACCGAACCAUUUUAUUUUAUUGGACUGAAAGGUGUCAAAUAUAGGUGGCAAAGGCCCUCCUACUUACAUUCCUGCCGCUACCUUCCUACCGUCCCUCUUCACCGCCGGUCUGAUUUCAUCGUGUAGGUAAAACCUUGGAAGGGAGAGCCCAUUGUGGCCGGGUGACAGUUUUCUGACAGAUUCCGUCUGAUUUGGUGUCGAGUGACAGAGGCACGAUCUCGCUGCAUUCACACGAUUAACUAGCCUCCCUACCAUCGCCGACUCUUAACCACUAGAAGUUAUUAUUCAAUCACUCUGAUUGUCAUUUCGUAGAGAAAAUGUGAUGCAUCGGGAAAAUUGUAACGUUCCGAUAAGAAGAAGUAGAAUCUCGUUGGUGCUCUGCGCGAAGGUUAGAAUAGUUCCACGGAAAGAUCAGUGAAAAAAAAAGGAGAAAAAAAUUGAAAAGGCAGAAGUCGACGAGAGAAGAGAGAGAGAGAGAGAAAGGGGGAAAAGGCUAUCAAAGAAGAAGCAUGUGUACGAAGGCUAUACAUAUAGGAGGCCAAGGUUUGGCUUAGAUCCUCUAAUCUCUCCUUCUUCCUCGCUCUUUCACCGUGUCUCGUCGAGUGUAACUGUAUAACGGGGUUCCCCGGUUUUUGUGAGGUCAUGGGUAUACGUGCAAAAGCGCAUAAAAGCUGAGGGGGCGCGCACGGUGUGGGAUACGGCUUAUUUCGGCGACAAUGCGUAGGGCCAGGCGCGAGCAUAAAGGAGCAUAAUGCACCCUGCUAACGUGAAAAUUAUUCUGUCAAACAUUCGGACGUCGGAUUACGGGCGGCAUAACCUCGUGGUGUCCUGGCCAGGACACGCUUUUUUUUUUUCAGAAAAGACACGGCCAAUAGGCUGGCCGUGCAGAUGCCGAAAGGAUUUCUCGGUCAACGAGACGACGAUCGUUGAUUUACGCGUCAACUCUCUCUCGCCGUAUAGCAAAUGGGAGGUCGCCGAGAGGGGAAAACGACGAAAUUUAUAGAUCCAUAAAAUCCUAAUAUUACGCGCUAUUUAGGAGAGAGGGUUAUGUUAACUCGAUGAUAUAAUUCCCAAUCGCGUGCAACGGUAUCUCCCCGAGGCAUUAUUGUUUCUUCCAACGAUUCCGCUACCGAACCGCUGGCGUCGUCUCGCGUAUUUUAUAUCGCAGAGAUCCUGAACGCGUACACGUGGUACGAGGAAUUAAGGAUCCUCCGUUCAAGGAUCAACGAUCUUAUAUAUUCGAGACAUUUGCUAUUUUUAUAUCGCAUCGUCCCGGCUCUGAAGGCGAGAUUCUUGCAACACGAUUCCACUCGUGUGCAUCAGAGAUUUUGUCGAUUGGACCACCUCCCUGUUUUUCCUACACGCAAUUUUCAAACGUUGCGCACGCGUCUGCACGCGCAUGUGUCUAACGCAAGCGAUGCGGUUUUCAAACGUCUCUUUUGCAUUAAAAUUGUUUCAAAUAUAUACCGCAAUAUGUAUAUAUAUAUAAUAUAAAUAAUCAAAUCAAAUGUAUAACAUAUAAAUCAAAUAUAUAAUACAAGUUUAACCUGACAAUUCGUAAAGCAGUGAAAAACAAUGGAUACAAUCUACAUUUUUUAGUGGAGGCAAUGCCCGAAAAUCACAGGUGAACAAAUAGCUACAAUUAAUAACCUUCUUCUCUCGUAAGUAAACGAAAUUUUGGCUAUGGAAGGAUUAAUUGUAGUCGUAACUCCAAAUAAAAAUCAAAUAAUAAUA
RNA transcript from Frieseomelitta varia, 4050 nucleotides. It is a transcript of the gene named sodium-coupled monocarboxylate transporter 2-like, with no coding region annotated. The record is from RefSeq and is a predicted model, not a curated record. The transcript is spliced from 10 exons. Lineage: Eukaryota; Metazoa; Arthropoda; Insecta; Hymenoptera; Apidae.